Long non-coding RNA from Clupea harengus (Atlantic herring), 1123 nucleotides. RefSeq lists it as uncharacterized. The record is from RefSeq and is a predicted model, not a curated record. The transcript has 3 exons. Lineage: Eukaryota; Metazoa; Chordata; Actinopteri; Clupeiformes; Clupeidae.
CAACAGUACACACAUAUAAACUGCCGACCUGCAGUACACCACAGCUCCAGAGGUGGCUCCAAAACACCAACAUUAUUUUAUCUAGGGUUAGCUAGUUUAGCACAUGUUAUUAUUAUAUCUAGGGUUAGCUAGGUUAGCACAUGUUAUUAUUAUAUCUAGGGUUAGCUAGGUUAGGGUUAGCUAGGUUAGCACAUGUUAUUUUUAUAUCUAGGGUUAGCUAGGUUAGGGUUAGCACAUGUUAUUAUUAUAUCUAGGGUUAGCUAGGCUAGCUAGGUUAGCACAUGUUAUUAUUAUAUCUAGGGUUAGCUAGGUUAGCACAUGUUAUUAUUAUAUCUAGGGUUAGCUAGGUUAGCACAUGUUAUUAUUAUAUCUAGGGUUAGCUAGGUUAGGGUUAGCUAGGUUAGCACAUGUUAUUUUUAUAUCUAGGGUUAGCUAGGUUAGGGUUAGCACAUGUUAUUAUUAUAUCUAGGGUUAGCUAGGUUAGCGUUAGCACAUGCCAUUAUUAUAUCUAGAGUUAGCUAGGCUAGCUAGGUUAGCACAUGUUAUUAUUAUAUCUAGGGUUAGCGUUAGCACAUGUCAUUAUUAUAUCUAGAGUUAGCUCCUCACAUGUUAUUAUUAUAUCUAGGGUUAGCUAGGUUAGCGUUAGCACAUGCUAUUAUUAUAUCUAGGGUUAGCUAGGUUAGCACAUGUUAUUAUUAUAUCUAGGGUUAGCUAGGUUAGCGUUAGCACAUGCCAUUAUUAUAUCUAGAGUUAGCUAGGCUAGCUAGGUUAGCACAUGUUAUUAUUAUAUCUAGGGUUAGCGUUAGCACAUGUCAUUAUUAUAUCUAGAGUUAGCUCCUCACAUGUUAUUAUUAUAUCUAGGGUUAGCUAGGUUAGCGUUAGCACAUGUCAUUAUUAUAUCUAGAGUUAGCUAGGUUAGCACAUGUUAUUAUUAUAUCUAGGGUUAGCUAGAUUAGCAUAUGUUAUUAUUAUAUCUAGGGUUAGCUAGUUUAGCACAUGUUAUUAUUAUAUCUAGGGUUAGCUAGGUUAACACAUGUUAUUAUUAUAGCUAGGGUUAGCUAGGUUAGGGUUAGCACAUGUUAUUAUUAUAUCUAGGGUUAGCUAGGUUAGGGUUAGCACAUGU